CAGGGGAACCUGAUCUGCGAUGCCGCGUGAGUGAAGAAGGUCUUUGGAUUGUAAAGCUCUUUUAUGGGGGAAGAUAAUGACGGUACCCUAGGAAAAAGCUCCGGCUAACUUCGUGCCAGCAGCCGCGGUAAUACGAAGGGAGCUAGCGUUGUUCGGAAUAACUGGGCGUAAAGGGUGCGUAGGUGGUGAUAUAAGUCAGUUGUGAAAGGUCUGGGCUUAACCUGGGAUUGGCAAUUGAUACUGUAUUACUUGAGUAUGGAAGGGGAGAACGGAAUUGCGCAUGGAGAGGUGAAAUUCGUAGAUAUGCGUAGGAACACCGGUGGUGAAGACGGUUCUCUGGUACAAUACUGACACUGAGGCACGAAAGCGUGGGGAGCAAACAGGAUUAGAUACCCUGGUAGUCCACGCCGUAAACGAUGAGUGCUAGAUGUUGGGACGUUAAGUUUCGGUGUCGAAGUUAACACGAUAAGCACUCCGCCUGGGGAGUACGGUCGCAAGAUUAAAACUCAAAGGAAUUGACGGGGACCCGCACAAGCGGUGGAGUAUGUGGUUUAAUUCGAAGCUACGCGAAGAACCUUACCAACCUUUGACAUGGGGCACGAGAUUUGAGAGAUCAAGUCGUCAUUAGUUGGGGUCACACAGGUGUUGCAUGGUGGCGUCACUCGUGUCGGAGAUGUGGGUUAGUCCGCACGAGGCACCUUUAUUAUGGACAGGUGGUGGCCUUAUG
This 727-nucleotide ribosomal RNA is filed under the name uncultured bacterium. RNAcentral describes it as "bacterial SSU rRNA". It matches the Rfam family "Bacterial small subunit ribosomal RNA", at positions 373 to 1130 of the family's 1533-position model. The record is from RNAcentral.